Molecule: ribosomal RNA, 1369 nt
Filed under: uncultured bacterium
Lineage: Bacteria
Description: bacterial SSU rRNA
Rfam family: Bacterial small subunit ribosomal RNA
Source: RNAcentral
GACGAACGCUGGCGGCGUGCCUAAUACAUGCAAGUAGAACGCUGAAGAGAGGAGCUUGCUCUUCUUGGAUGAGUUGCGAACGGGUGAGUAACGCGUAGGUAACCUGCCUUGUAGCGGGGGAUAACUAUUGGAAACGAUAGCUAAUACCGCAUAACAAUGGAUGACCCAUGUCAUUUAUUUGAAAGGGGCAAUUGCUCCACUACAAGAUGGACCUGCGUUGUAUUAGCUAGUAGGUGAGGUAACGGCUCACCUAGGCGACGAUACAUAGCCGACCUGAGAGGGUGAUCGGCCACACUGGGACUGAGACACGGCCCAGACUCCUACGGGAGGCAGCAGUAGGGAAUCUUCGGCAAUGGGGGCAACCCUGACCGAGCAACGCCGCGUGAGUGAAGAAGGUUUUCGGAUCGUAAAGCUCUGUUGUAAGUCAAGAACGAGUGUGAGAGUGGAAAGUUCACACUGUGACGGUAGCUUACCAGAAAGGGACGGCUAACUACGUGCCAGCAGCCGCGGUAAUACGUAGGUCCCGAGCGUUGUCCGGAUUUAUUGGGCGUAAAGCGAGCGCAGGCGGUUUGAUAAGUCUGAAGUUAAAGGCUGUGGCUCAACCAUAGUUCGCUUUGGAAACUGUCAAACUUGAGUGCAGAAGGGGAGAGUGGAAUUCCAUGUGUAGCGGUGAAAUGCGUAGAUAUAUGGAGGAACACCGGUGGCGAAAGCGGCUCUCUGGUCUGUAACUGACGCUGAGGCUCGAAAGCGUGGGGAGCGAACAGGAUUAGAUACCCUGGUAGUCCACGCCGUAAACGAUGAGUGCUAGGUGUUGGAUCCUUUCCGGGAUUCAGUGCCGCAGCUAACGCACUAAGCACUCCGCCUGGGGAGUACGACCGCAAGGUUGAAACUCAAAGGAAUUGACGGGGGCCCGCACAAGCGGUGGAGCAUGUGGUUUAAUUCGAAGCAACGCGAAGAACCUUACCAGGUCUUGACAUCCCGAUGCUAUUUCUAGAGAUAGAAAGUUACUUCGGUACAUCGGUGACAGGUGGUGCAUGGUUGUCGUCAGCUCGUGUCGUGAGAUGUUGGGUUAAGUCCCGCAACGAGCGCGACCCCUAUUGUUAGUUGCCAUCAUUCAGUUGGGCACUCUAGCGAGACUGCCGGUAAUAAACCGGAGGAAGGUGGGGAUGACGUCAAAUCAUCAUGCCCCUUAUGACCUGGGCUACACACGUGCUACAAUGGUUGGUACAACGAGUUGCGAGUCGGUGACGGCAAGCUAAUCUCUUAAAGCCAAUCUCAGUUCGGAUUGUAGGCUGCAACUCGCCUACAUGAAGUCGGAAUCGCUAGUAAUCGCGGAUCAGCACGCCGCGGUGAAUACGUUCCCGGGCCU